GUGUUUUCCCUCGUUUCCCUCCUCGUGUUCUUCGUGGGAUCUUCUCCUUUCGUGAAAGGUCGGAUGAUUAGGGUUCUUCCCUACAUCAUCUUGGUAUCUAGAGCCACGUUGAUCAUGAUUUCGGAGCCUCCCCAUUGUGUUGGUAGCCUAGUUUUUGUUGAUUUUGUCCCUAAUUCGAAAAUUCCCCACAAAAAUAGCACCAAUUUAUUUUGUGAUUUGUUGGUGUGUUGAAAUUUUGUUGGAUUUGAUAUGUGGAUUUGCUUUUCCUUGAGUGGAUCUAGCUUUUCCCCCUUGUCCCCACCCUUUCCAUCCACGAAAUCGCCCGGAUUCGACGAAUUUCGACCUCUCCACCUCGUACACAUGUUGUUCUUCCCGUGCCCGAAAAUUGCCCAGGCACCAGACGUCCGACCCCUACCGGACUUCCGACGACCGGACGACCAGCCCAGCCCGGACGUCUGACGAUCACUGGCGAAACUGAAUUUUUUCAGUAUAGUCACCACCACCGCCACACUUUUCCGCAUACGCCCCCCACCACCACCUAUACACCAUCACCACUCCCACAUACCAUCGCCAUUGCUCACCCAUUUCGCACUCCGACGCGUGUUGCCACUUCGAGCUUUGAGAAUUUGAGUUGCGGUUCCGUGUCCUUUUGUGUUUCGGCUAUCUAGGUAUAGUUAGACAUCAACAUCACCACUGCUCAUCUUCGCCAUGGACGCGUCAUCAACAACGACCACCUCGACUACAUCUUGGUAUUCAUGCCACCAUUUUGACACCAUACCGUAAGCAAGAACGGUAACCUCGUCUUGGUAUUGGACGUAUCACUCUUGCCAUUACUUUGAUAGCCAUCAUAGCCUUACUCCUUUGCGUUGCUUACCCUUCAAGACUAGCUUUUGAGUAUUGCCGGCAACGAGACUUGUGCACAUUAGUAAUCAUACUUCCCAUAGCAUACAUACAUAGUUGUUGCAUAUCUUGUUAUCAUCUCUUGUAUCACAAGGUUGUCAUCGCCUACACAAUUGCUAUCUUGGUUCGUGAAGCAUUGCAUGAGAAAAGAGCUCAAACAACAAAGAGCUAGACAAGCUUUUAAGCAAAAGGGAAAGAUAAGUAAAGAGCUUUUAAGCAAGAACCAUAGCAUCAUACAACAUUAAGAUUAUCAUAUUAGAUCAUCUUGGAUCAUAUCAUAGAAACACCUUGCAUAGAGCAUACUUGGGAUAGAAGUCGUUGCAUUUUUGCAUAGUAGGUUGUGCACAAGUCUUUGUAUCCACCUAUUGUGCAAUCGUGCCAGCGUCUUUCUAGUGUUGUGCAAAAAGAGCAUUUUUGUGGGUUCCAUAUUUUGGCUCACCCUUGGUUGCACGACCCCACUUAUCUUUUUGCGUGUGUGUUUCCGUGUACCUUAUAUUGCUUGGUCUACUUGUUGCAUUGCAAUCUUGCGAAUCUUUUCCAACAUUAUUGAAGCUCACUUACAAUUGCAUCAAAUUUUGUGCCACCAUCCUAACCAAGCUCCACCAUAAGCUUUUACUCAUGUAGGUGUGAGAAACCGACAAGAAUUGGUACCAAUUGUGCUAUUUCCUUGUCCACAUUGGAGCGAUCAUUGAUCCAAGCCGGGGGUUUGGUGCGACAUAUGCCAAGGGAUGGCUAAUCAUGAUGGGGGCUAGUAAGAUGUCGCCGGUGCCAGGAAACAGGAUGAGGCGAAGACAUGCACACCGACGAAUCUUACCCAGGUUCAGGGCUCUCCUAGGAGAUAACACCCCUAGUCCUGCUCUGCGGGGUCUCUGCAUGAUCACUAAGGCACUAGUAAGUACAAUGGUGCUCCUCGAGCUCUAUGCGAGAGGUGGAAGAAGGCAGGGCUAGCUUUCUCCUCUAUCUAUGUGUGUCUAGAUCUAACAGUGUUGGGAACCCUUUACAUGGGUGCCCUGGGGGUUUAUAUAGGCCUACCCCCCAGGGGUACAAUGGUAAUCUUGCCGGGUGUAGGACCCGAUUGUCAGUGUCUUCGGUCGCCGGCUCCUCUGCCGACCGCUGGGGCCCUCCGCCUGGCCUGGUACGGAGCCAACAGGCCGCCUCCAGCGCUUGCGGAUCUGGCUGGCUGCUUGUUAAUGUAGCUGUAAUGCUAAUGACGCAUGCUUGGUCGGGGGGGCGUGGCUACAGUCCUGCCGUCUGGUGGGAGAUCACUAUAGCCACGCUGUGUCUCCUUUGGUUGAUGGCGCAUGGACCCCGAGGAAAAGGUGGGCCGCCUUCUGGAGGCCAGCCCCCCUCGCGUCCGGCAGGUCAGGCGCUGCCGCCCUCUAGGCUCUCGCUACCUAGUGGGGCCCGCCGCCUGCAGGUCGUACCGACAGGCCGUCGUGGGAACAGGGUUCCGCCUGACAGGGGCGACGUCAAGGGUAGGAUGACAACAGUGUCGCGCCGUCCGGAGAUCCCGGCCGGUACGAGACACUAUGGCCACGCCCUGCUAUGGAUAUGGGGGUGAUGGCUACGCUGUAGCCUCACCCCAUCUUGUCUUUUUGAUGGGGCGCCGUGGGCCGCCUGCCAAGUGUCGGCCUCUCUGGUGGCCGCUUGCUGGGAGGCGGAUCGUCUUGGGGCCGUCUUCUGGUACUUUGGCCGUCCUGUGGCAGCCGGCCGAUUUGAGCCAGCCAGCCGCCAGAAGGCAGCGCUUCGUCCUUGACGCUCGUUGGGCACAACCGACCCAAAUGUUUGGAAAUGCUCAGGGACCCAGGUGGGGCUACCCAUGGCCCAUUACUCUGACAGUAGUCCCCAAAGCUGGUUAGGCGGCGCGGUUGAUAAGCCAAGGCGCCUCAGUAGUUUCCUUCUCCAAAUGCCCUUGCCGAAUGCUUCAUCCGCCCUCUGGUAUGCUGCCUACUGGAAGUCGGCCAUGACCAGGCGGACGCGUUUGAUGAUCCCGAACUCCCGCCCCAAUACUGGGUGGCGUCGAGGUUAUCUCACCAAUGAACUGCAUAAAAGAGAUUUUCGAUGUCGGCGUACUAAACUCAGGUAUUCCAGAACUGCAACGAUAAAAUUAUGAUGACAACACCUCAGAGCUCAACUCCUUGGGACACUUCCACUAAACCCCUGACAGGAGGCACCAAGACAAUGUUCUCAUCAUAAAACCAUUGGAACGAUUCCGAGAUACCCGCGUGAUCCUAAAAAAAAUUAGUGAAAUUUGAGAAGAGAAGAGUAAAAACUCUACGUCAGGAUGCCUUACCAGAGCGAUGAGGAGACUGGGAAGUAAAAAGAAUUCCUAAUCUCUCCGAUAUAUAAUUCCUAAAAGACUCAAAACAUUUUUCUAGACACAACUCGGCCGCUAAUAACGAUCAAGCAAUGGGGCUCCUAAGGUCGGGGAAGGCUCUGAUUACUAACUUGUAACACCCUCGAUGCGACUAUAUCUCCCACGUGUCGAGGCACGACUUAGAGGCAUAAUCGCAUUGAAAGGCAUAUGUCGCAAGUAAGGCAAUCUUCACAACAUCCCAUGUAAUAUAAAUAAUAAAGGGGAGAUAACAUAGUUGGCUUACACUCGCCACGUCAAUCAAGGUACAUAAAUAACAUUACAUCAUCCAAACACUCAUGGCCCGACUACGGCGCCAAAAUAAAAGAUAACCCAACAAGUGACACGGCCCCAAUCACCCCCAACUGGGCACCACUACUGAUCAUCGGGAAAGGAAACAUAGUAACGUUGAGAGUCUUCGUCGAACUACCACCUGAGCUCAUACGCGUCUCUUGGAGCAGAAUCAUCAGGCCCUGCAUCUGGUGUAAUAGUAAUCUGUGAGCCACAGGGACUCAGCAAUCUCGCACCCUCGCGUUCAAGACUAUUUAAGCUUAUAGGUAAGGCAAGGUAAAACAUGAGUGGAGCUGCAGCAAGCGACUAGCAAGUAUGGUGGCUAACUUAUUCGCAAAAGAGAGCGAGAAGAGGAGGCAAAGCGCGAGUGAGAAACUAGAGAGCAACCUGCGCAAACAUUACUCCAACACCGUGUCCACUUCCCGGACUCCGCCGAGAAGAGGCCAUCACGGUAACACACUUGGUUGAUUCAUUUUAGUUAAGUUAAGGUUCAAGUUAUCUAAAACCGGACAUUAACAAACUCCCAUCUGCCCAUAACCGCGGGCACGGCUUUCGAAAGUUCAAUCCCUGCAGGGGAGUCCCAACUUAGCCCAUGACAAGCUCUCACGGUCAAUGAAGGAAUAGACCUCUUCCCAAGAUGUUCCGAUCAGACUCGGUAUCUCGGUUACUCAAGACACUUCGACAGGUUAAAACAAGACCAGCAACACCGCCCGAAUGUGCCGACAAAUCCCGAUAGGAGCUGCACAUAUCUUGUUCUCAGGGCACACUCAGAUGAGACAUCCUACGAGUAAAACAAACCAUCAAGUUGCCCCGAGGUGGCCCCGCAGUCUACUCGGUCGGACCAACACUCAGAGGAGCACUGGCCCGGGGGGGUUAAAAUAAGAUGACCCUUGGGCUCCGGUAACCCAAGGGAAAAAGAGGCUAGGUGGCGAAUGGUAAAACCAAGGUUGGGCAUUGCUGGAAAAGCUUUAAUCAAGUCGAAAUGUCAAGGGGUUCCCAUUAUAACCCAACCGCGUAAGGAACGCAAAAUCCGGGAGCAUAACACUGAUAUGACGGAAACUAGGGCGGCAAGAGUGGAAAAAACACUAGGCGAGAGGCCGAGCCUUCCACCCUUUACCAAGUAUAUAGAUGCAUUAAGAUAACAAGAUAAUAUAAUGAUAUCCCAACAAGUAAAUAAAUGUUCCAACAAGGAACGGCCUUCAAUCUUCACCUGCAACUAGCAACGCUAUAAGAGGGGCUGAGCAAAGCGGUAACAUAGCCAAUCAACGGUUUGCUAGGACAUGGUGGGUUAGAGGUUUGACAUGGCAAUUUGGGAGGAUUGCAAGCAAGUGGUAGGCAUCGUAGCAUUGGCAUAGCAAAAGAGCGAGCAAACUAGCAUAGCAAAGAUAGUAGUGAUUUCGAGGGUAUGAUCAUCUUACCUGCACAGUUGUCAGAGUUGACUGGAUCCUCGAAAGCAAACUCAACGGGCUCCUCGUUAGCGAACUCGUCUCCCGGCUCUAUCCAAACAAGACAAACAAGCAACAAGGAUACAAUCAACCACGUGCAAGACCAAGCAAUAUGAUGCAAUGAUGAUAUGCUAUGCGGAAUGCGAUGCGGGAUGCAAAAUGCAAGAUAUGACAGGAAAUGCAUGAACCUGGCCUCAACAUGGAAAUCCAAGGGUGCCGCUGGAAAGAUGAGAUGAAAUCGCUUGAAAAUGAUAUAAAGAACGCCGGAAUCAGGGUUACGGUUUGGAAAUGGCAAGCGAUUCAAAUAUGACACCGGUCUGCGAUUUACAGCAAGUAGCCAACUAAAUGCAAUGAGAUGAUCAUGCUAUAGCAACCAAACAUCACAACAUAGAUGGCAGGGAUGCACACAAGAUGCUUAACAAAAGUCUAGCACUGAGCUACGGCCAAUUCAUCUAUUAACAGGUUCAAACAAGCAUGGCAAAAAUGCAUAUGGCAAACAGAUCUCAGACUUAGUGAAAUUAACACUUGUCUGGAGUUUCAGAUCAGGUAGCCCUCUUCGGAGCCACAAAACUACAUGCUACAGGACCUGAAAAUGGCAAAGUAAAGCAUAGCAUGGAGCUACUCUAAGAGUUUAACAAAAGUCCCUUAGUGACCUUGAGCAAAAAGGGAUCAGAAAAUACAAUUGCAAGCAUGUGAACAUAGCAAAAACAUAAUCAGUUUUCGGACUUAGUGAAAAUUGGCACAUGCUGAAAUAUAACUCAAGUAGGCAUGUUUACGAGCUCGAUGCACUCACUACGGUGCAAGUCAUGGCAAGACAAGCAUACAUCCAUCAAGAAGGCACAAAAUGCAAGCUAGACAUGGCAAGAACAAAAGCAUAUCAUGCACGGAUCAACUACAACAACAACGGCAAAAUCGCAAACAAGUUGACAAUCUGCCCAGAUUCACAAAGUAGCAAAAGUAGAGCUCGAUUGACUCAACCUAGGGUGCUCCAUAAUUGCAAAUAAAGACAUGGAUAGAUAGAGAACUACAAGAUUAACAAAACUCCCUUACUGAUCAUCCUCAAAAGAGGCACGGAUCACUAGGAAACAACAUGAACAUAUGGCAUCAUGAGAUGAACAGCUCCAGGACUUAGUGAAAUUACUAAGUCCCUGAAAACAGAAUUAGCAAGUGCACCACUUUGCAAGCUUGCACAAGUCACCACACACAUCACAAAAAUACAUGGGUUGCACCUCUGGAAAGAUGACAAAACCCUUAACAAAACACAUGUAGAGCAUCAGGGCAUAGCAUGCACACAAUAAUCAUGGCAAAAAUGACAAAAAACCUAAAUGGAGUAGCAGAUCUGACAAUUAACUCAAGUAGCCCUCUUCUAACAGUAUUUCAGGCAUCAGGAUGAACUCAAAUGAAAAUGAUGCAAUGAAAUGAAAUGAUGUACUCUCUUAGAUGAACAUUUUGAUGUGCUAUAUGCCAAAAAUGGAGCUACGGAGGAGGAGAUACGACAUGAUGAAGAUGAGCACAUGAGCUAAGGUUUGGGCAAAAAAGUCAACCCGAGUCACUCCAGAUCUAGACCCAGCCCGAGCACUGUAGCGGCGACGCGGUUCCCGAUGUUGGUCGGCUUCGUCGCCGGACUUGCCGAAGAAUGCCGGAGCCCACGGGGGAGAUGGCCGGAGGAGGGAGAGGACGGCGAGACAGCGGCUGAGCUGCGGCGGCGGCGGCGNNNNNNNNNNNNNNNNNNNNNNNNNNNNNNNNNNNNNNNNNNNNNNNNNNNNNNNNNNNNNNNNNNNNNNNNNNNNNNNNNNNNNNNNNNNNNNNNNNNNNNNNNNNNNNNNNNNNNNNNNNNNNNNNNNNNNNNNNNNNNNNNNNNNNNNNNNNNNNNNNNNNNNNNNNNNNNNNNNNNNNNNNNNNNNNNNNNNNNNNNNNNNNNNNNNNNNNNNNNNNNNNNNNNNNNNNNNNNNNNNNNNNNNNNNNNNNNNNNNNNNNNNNNNNNNNNNNNNNNNNNNNNNNNNNNNNNNNNNNNNNNNNNNNNNNNNNNNNNNNNGCUCCUGGGCAGCGCGCGGGCAGAGGAGGCGCGGGGCUUCGGGCGGCGGCGCGGUGGCUUCGGGCCUCCGGGGCCCGGCUCGGGCCUGGCGGGCCCGCACGGGUGUGGCGGCGGUGAUGUGGUCCGGGGCGCCCACGUGGCGGCUCCUGGUUGGUGGAGGCGGAUCCGGACGUUGUCCGGCCUGUGUGGACACGUCCGGCGGCGGCGGAGAUGGUUUUUUUUAGGGUUUGACGAGGGGAUCCGAGAUUUGGAAUUGGGGAGGUAUAUAUAGGCAUAGAGGGAGCUAGGAGAGUCCAAAUGAGGUGCGGUUUUCGGCCACGCGAUCGUGAUCAAACGCUCUAGAUGAUGGAGCGGAGUUUGGUGGGUUUUGGGCGAAAUUGGAGGGGUGUUGGGCUGCAACACACACGAGGCCUUUUCGGUCCCUCGGUUAACCGUUGGAGUAUCAAACGAAGUCCAAAUGGUACGAAACUUGACAAGCGGUCUACCGGUAGUAAACCAAGGCCGCUUGGCAAGUCUCGGUCCAAUCCGGAAAUGUUUAAUCCCCACACACGAAAGAAAGGUAGAAAUGACCGCCAGAGGAGAACGAAGCGCCGGAAUGCAAAACGGACAACGGGGAAAAUGCUCGAAUGCAAGAGACGAACACGUAUGCGAAUGCAAUGCACAUGAUGACAUGAUAUGAGAUGCAUGACAACGACAACAACACACGGAGACAAAAACCCGAACCCGAGAAAAAUAAAAUAACUUAACGCCGGAAACGGCAAGAGUUGGAGUACAAAUUGGGAAAGUUACAUCCGGGGUGUUACAACACUCCACCACUACGAAAGGAUAUCGUCCCGAGAUCUAGGACUGAAAGAACGCCGGGUACUCAGAACGUAGGUGAUCCUCGCAUUCCCAGGUAGCUUCACGGUCGGAAUGGUGUGACCACUUGACUUUGAGAAAUUUGAUUGACUUGCUGCGAGUCUUGCGUUCAGUCUCUUCAAGAAUAGCAACUGGGUGCUCACGGUAAGAGAGAUCUUCUUGGAGCUCAAUGUCCUUGAAGUUGACGGUGCGGUCAGGAGUCUUGAAGCACUUUUGAAGCUAAGAGACAUGGAACACGUCAUGAACAUUUGCAAAGUUUGAAGGAAGCUCGAGUUGAUAGGCGAGGUCGCUUCUCUUGCUGACAAUCUUGAAAGGUCCCACGUAUCUGGGAGCAAGCUUCCCUUUGAUACCGAAGCGACGAGUACCUUUCAUAGGAGAGACACGGAGGUACACAUGAUCUCCGAUCUCGAAAGCCAAAUCACGAUGCUUACUAUCAUAGUAGCUCUUCUGACGGGAUUGGGCUGCUUUGAGGUUAUCACGAAUGACUUUGCACAUUUCUUCUGCUUCUGUGAUUAAGUCAUUACCCAAAAGCUGACGUUCACCGGUUUCGGACCAGUUGAGAGGGGUACGACACUUCCUGCCAUACAGAAUUUCAAAUGGGGCCUUGCCCGAACUUGCUUGAAAACUGUUGUUGUAGGAGAAUUCAGCAUAAGGAAGACAAUCCUCCCACUUCAUGCCGAAGGAUAUCACACAAGCCCUGAGCAUAUCUUCAAGAAUCUGGUUGACACGCUCGACUUGACCGCUAGUUUGAGGAUGGAAAGCUAUGCUGAAGUGGAUGUUGGUGCCCAUGGCCUUCUCAAAAGAAUCCCAAAACUUCGAGGUAAAGAUGCUGCCAUGGUCUGAAGAGAUUACUUGUGGGAUACCGUGCAGAGAGACAAAAUGAGAGGUAUAGAGUUCCGCCAAUUGAGCUGCAGUGAUCGACUCUUUGAUAAACAGAAAGUGAGCCACUUUGGUGAGUUUGUCGAUGACAACGAAUAUAGCAUCAUUGCCACGCUUGGACUUUGGAAACCCAGUCACGAAGUCCAUUUCAAUGUGGUCAAACUUCCAUUCUGGAAUGGCAAGAGGUUGGAGGAGACCUGCUGGCCUUUGGUGUUCUGCCUUCACUCUUCUGCAGACAUCACAUUCAUUCACGAAUUGAGCGAUCUCGCGCUUCAUUCGAAUCCACCAAUAAGCCUGUUUAAGGUCCUGAUACAUCUUCGUGCUCCCAGGGUGGAUCAAGAGGAGAGAAUUGUGAGCCUCGUUCAAGAUCACUUUACGGAGGUCACCUUUGGGUAUAACAAUACGAUCCUCGAAGAAGAGAGUGUCCUUGUCAUCAAGGCGGUAGCACUUGUACUUGGACUGACUCUUGGCAAUCCCAAUCUUCACCUUUUUCACCAUAGCAUCAAGAAGUUGGGCUUGGCGAAUCUGGUCUUCUAAGGUAGGAGAGACUUGAAGGUUGGCGAGGAAACCUUGAGGAACAACUUGUAGAUUAAGUUUGCGGAAAGCUUCACAAAGCUCGGGUUGACAAGGCUUAAGAAUCAGACUGUUGCAGUAGGCCUUUCUGCUCAAUGCGUCAUCAAUCACGUUGGCCUUGCCUGGAGUAUACUCAAUACUCGGGUUAUACACUUGAAUCAUUUCGACCCAUCGAGUUUGCCUGAGGUUGAGAUUAGGCUGAGUGAAGAUGUACUUGAGACUCUUGUGAUCAGUGAAAAUGUCCACUUUUCUUCCCAAUAGAAUAUGUCUCCAAGUCAAAAGACCAUGCACAACUGCCGCCAACUCGAGAUCAUGAGUGGGGUAGUUCUUCUCAUUAGGCUUCAACUGGCGAGAGGUAUAAGCAACAACUUUCUUCUCUUGCAUCAAAACUGUGCCAAGACCUUGGAGAGAGGCAUCACAAAAGACCUCGUACGGCUUGGAUUCAUCAGGCGGAGUCAGAACUGGAGCAGUGAUCAAUUUCUCUUUCAAAGUGUUGAAAGCAAUGUCACACUCCGGAGACCAAACGUACUUGACGUGCUUCUGGAGAAGAUUUGAGAGAGGCUUUGCGAUCUUAGAAAAGUUUUCAAUGAAUCUUCGACAAUAGCUUGCGAGACCGAGGAAGCUACGGAGUUGCUUCACAUUCUGAGGAGGUUCCCAAUUCACAAUUGCAGACACCUUCUCAGGAUUCACGGCAAUGCCCUUGGCAGAGAUGAUAUGACCAAGAUAAAGCACUUCAUCGAGCCAAAAUUCACACUUGGAGAACUUGGCGUAGAACUGAUGUUCCCUUAGCUUAUCAAGAACCAAACGCAAGUGCUUGGCAUGAUCUUCCUUAUUCUUCGAGAAAACUAGAAUGUCGUCGAGAUAGACCAAAACGAAGUCAUUGGUGUAGGCGUUGAAGAUGAAGUUCAUCAUGCGAGAGAACGUCGGAGGAGCGUUGACGAGGCCAAAAGACAUGACGGUGUAUUCAUAUGAACCAAAGCUUGUCCUGAAAGCCGUCUUGGUAAUAUCUUGCUCACGGAUUCGAAUCUGAUGAUAACCCAUACGGAGAUCAAGCUUGGAGAAUACAUGGGCACCUUUGAGUUGUUCGAACAGCUCAUUGAUGUUGGGAAGUGGGUAUUUGUUCUUGAUGGUCUUCUUGUUCACUGGACAGUAAUCGACACAAAGUCGGUCCGUUCCAUCCUUCUUCUUCACAAAAAGAACACCACAACCCCACGGAGAAGAACUAGGCCGGAUGAGACCCAUUUUCUCUUGAAUAUCGAGUUGCUUCUUCAGCUCCUUCAACUCUUCAGGUCCGAGCUUGUAAGGACGUUUGCACAUAGGUUCCGUGCCAGGCUCAAGAUCAAUAACGAAUUCAACUGGCCGGUGCGGAGGCAUUCCUGGAAGCUCUUCUAGAAAGACGUCUUGAUAUUCGCAAACGACUGGAAUUUGAGAGAUGGCAUCCAAUUCACCCUUCUCAUUGAGAGAAAACAGACGAAUGGUAUUAUCCCGAGCGGCAAAGACAAUUACAUCCUUAGACGAAUUAGUCAAUUGAAUCUGCCUUGCAGCACAAUCAAGAUGAGCCUUGUGCUUAGAAAGCCAGUCCAUCCCGAGAAUAAGAUCAAUAUCCGAGUUGCCAAGAACCACCGGAGAAGAAAGAAACUUGUAGUCGCCCAACGUGAUAGAGAUAUCAGGAGCAACCAAACUAGAAGUCAAAAGCUUGCCGGGAGAAACAACUUGCAUGACUUUGGGCAUGAUCUCAGUAUCAACAUUGUGCUUCGAUGCAAAAGGGCAUGACAAAAAGGAAUGCAAUGCACCAGUGUCAAAAAGAACUUUUGCAGGAACAUCGUUAACAGGAAGGUUACCCAUGAUGACAUCUGAUGAGUCCUCUGCCUGAGCUGCAUUCAUCAAAUUGACCUUGGCAUGCUUGGUGUUAUGCUUGACCACAGCUGUACUUGCCGAUCUGACAGGAGGAGGAGGAGGAAGACUCCUCUGGUUGAAACACUUGUUGGCAUAGUGACCCUUCUAUUGGCACUUGUUGCAUGCGACCUCUGAAAGCGGACGGUGAUACGGAGCACUCGAUCUUGGAGCUUGAGACAAAGUCUUGUUCUGAAAGCCAGGGUUGGGUGGGUGGGAAGAACCACUGCCACCUUUGCUCUUCUGCUGAUACGACUGACAGAACGGAGGAGGAGGAAGCCAAUACUUCUGCUGCUUGGCCACUUGAGUAGAGGAAGAAGGAGUAACGUCCCUGACUCGCUUCUUGCAAGCAUCACACCUCAACUGAGCAGCCUCUUGCUUCAGUGCCAUGUUGUAGAACUCACCGUAUCUCAAGGGCUCAAAGAGAACAAGAGCUAGCUGAAUUUCUUCUCUGAGACCACCCCUGAACUGAUAUAUCAUGCUCUUCUCAUCAGGGACGUCCUGCUUGGCAAAGCGGGCGAGCUUCUCGAACAACUUGUUGUAGUCAUAGACAGACAAAGAGCCUUGCUUCAGAUUGCGGAAUUCCUCACGAUUGCUUUCAACCACGCUCUGGGGAAUAUGAUGAGCUCGGAAAUCUCGAUGAAAAUCAUCCCAAGUGAUAACACGUCCACCUCUGGAGUCCUUGUACUGCUGGAACCAUUCUGCAGCUUGAUCUUUGAGUUGGAAGGAAGCGAACUUGACAAAGUCCUCAGGCCUGACAUUACUGCACUCGAAAUGCUUACACAGAUCCACAAGCCAAUCGUCAGCAUCGGUUGCCUCAACACAAUUGCUGAAAGUCUUUGGCCCGUUAGCAAGGAACUGGUUGAGUGUAGCAAAGUGAUUCUGAUUGCUGCCUUGAUUCCCUUGGUUGCCUUGAUUGCGCUCUUGAAGAAUUUGCAUGAUCAACUGUGUGUUUGCAUUGGUUGCGGCCAUCACAGCUUGCCAUGCCUCCGGAGGAGGUGGAGGUGGUGGCGGAUCAGGAUUCGGAGUCGUGCGCGUUGGAGGAGCCAUCCCAAACUAGCAAAUCCUACAUCCAGUUGUAUCCAUCCUUCAACACAUAACCAAGAAACCUUCGGAAACCAUCUACCUCAACCUUCGAAAAGCAUCCGUUAUACAAGUUAUGGCGAUACUCCCGAACUCCCGCCCCAGUACUGGGUGGCAUCGAGGUUAUCUCACCAACGAACUGCAUAAAAGAGAUUUUCGAUGUCGGCGUACUAAACUCAGGUAUUCCAGAACUGCAACGAUAAAAUUAUGAUGACAACACCUCAGAGCUCAACUCCCCGGGACACUUCCACUAAACCCCUGAUAGGAGGCACCAAGACAAUGUUCUCAUCAUAAAACCAUCGGAACGACUCCAAGAUACCCGUGUGAUCCUAAAAAAAUUUUAGUGAAAUUUGAGAAGAGAAGAGUCAAAACUCUACGUCAGGAUUCCUUACCAGAGCGAUGAGGAGACUGGGAAGUAAAAAGAAUUCCUAAUAUCUCUGAUAUAUAAUUCCAAAAAGACUCAAAACAUUUUUCUAGACACAACUCGGCCGCUAAUAACGAUCAAGCAAUGGGGCUCCUAAGGUCGGGGAAGGCUCUGAUUACCAACUUGUAACACCCUCGAUGCGACUAUAUCUCCCACGUGUCGAGGCAUGACUGAGAGGCAUAAUCACAUUGAAGGCAUAUGUCGCAAGUAAGGCAAUCUUGACAACAUCCCAUGUAAUAUAAAUAAUAAAGGGGAGAUAACAUAGUUGGUGUACACUCGCCACGUCAAUCAAGGUACAUAAAUAACAUUACAUCAUCCAAAAACUCAUGGCCCGACUACGGCGCCAAAAUAAAAGAUAACCCAACAAGCGACACGGUCCCAAUCACCCCCAACUGGGCACCACUACUGAUCAUCGGGAAAGUAAACAUAGUAACGUUGAGAGUCUUCGCCGAACUCCCACUUGAGCUCAUACGCGUCUCCUGGAGCGGAAUCAUCAGGCCCUGCAUCUGGUGUAAUAGUAAUCUGUGAGCCACAGGGACUCAGCAAUCUCUCACCCUCGCGAUCAAGACUAUUUAAGCUUAUAGGUAAGGCAAGGUAAAAUAUGAGUGGAGCUGCAACAAGCGACUAGCAAGUAUGGUGGCUAACUUAUUUGCAAAAGAGAGCGAGAAGAGGAGGCAAAGCGCGAGCGAGAAACUAGAGAGCAACCUGCGCAAACAUUACUCCAACACCGUGUCCACUUCCCGGACUCCGCCGAGAAGAGGCCAUCACGGUAACACACUCGGUUGAUUCAUUUUAGUUAAGUUAAGGUUCAAGUUAUCUACAACCGGACAUUAACAAAUUCCCAUCUGCCCAUAACCGCGGGCACAGCUUUCGAAAGUUCAAUCCCUGCAGGGGAGUCCCAACUUAGCCCAUGACAAGCUCUCACAGUCAAUGAAGGAAUAGACCUCCUCCCAAGAUGUUCCGAUCAGACUCGGUAUCUCGGUUACUCAAGACACUUCGACAGGUUAAAACAAGACCAGCAACACCGCCCGAAUGUGCCGACAAAUCCCGAUAGGAGCUGCACAUAUCUCGUUCUCAGGGCACACUCAUAUGAGACAUCCUACGAGUAAAACCAACCCUCAAGUUGCCCCGAGGUGGCCCCGCAGUCUACUCGGUCGGACCAACACUCAGAGGAGCACUGGCCCGGGGGGGUUAAAAUAAGAUGACCCAUGGGCUCCGGUAACCCAAGGGAAAAAGAGGCUAGAUGGCGAAUGGUAAAACCAAAGUCGGGCAUUGCUGGAAAAGCUUUAAUCAAGUCGAAAUAUCAAGGGGUUCCCAUUAUAACCCAACCGCGUAAGGAACGCAAAAUCCGGGAACAUAACACCGAUAUGACGGAAACUAGGGCGGCAAGAGUGGAACAAAACACUAGGCAAGAGGCCUAGCCUUCCACCCUUUACCAAGUAUAUAGAUGCAUUAAGAUAACAAGAUAAUAUAAUGAUAUCCCAAUAAGUAAAUAAAUGUUCCAACAAGGAACAACCUUCAAUCUUCACCUGCAACUAGCAACGCUAUAAGAGGGGCUGAGCAAAGCGGUAACAUAGCCAAUCAACGGUUUGCUAGGACAUGGUGGGUUAGAGGUUUGACAUGGCAAUUUGGGAGGCUUGCAAGCAACUGGUAGGCCUCGUAGCAUUGGCAUAGCAAAAGAGCGAGCAAACUAGCAUAGCAAAGAUAGUAGUGAUUUCGAGGGUAUGAUCAUCUUGCCUGCACAGUUGUCAGAGUUGACUGGAUCCUUGAAAGAAAACUCAACGGGCUCCUCGUUAGCGAACUCGUCUACCGGAUCUACCCAAACAAGACAGACAAGCAACACGGAUACAAUCAACCACGUGCAAGACCAAGCAAUAUGAUGCAAUGAUGAUAUGCUAUGCAGAAUGCGAUGCGGGAUGCAAAAUGCAAGAUAUGACAGGAAAUGCAUGAACCUGGCCUCAACAUGGAAAUCCAAGGGUGCCACUGGAAAGAUGAGAUGAAAUCUCUUGAAAACAAUAUGAAGAACGCCGGAAUUGGAGUUACGGUUUGGAAAUGGCAAGCGAUUCAAAUAUGACACCGGUCUGCGAUUUACAGCAAGUAGCCAACUAAAUGCAAUGAGAUGAACAUGCUACAGCAACCAAACAUGACCAAAAAAUACAUGGAAGGGAUGCACACAAGAUGCUUAACAAAAGUCUAGCACUAAGCUACGGCCAAUUCAUCCAUUAACAGGUUCAAACAAGCAUGGCAAAAAUGCAUAUGGCAAACAGAUCUCAGACUUAGUAAAAUUAACACUUGUCUGGAAUUUCAGAUCAGGUAGCUCUCUUCGGAGCCAUAAAACUACAUGCUACAGGACCUGAACAUGGAAAAGUAAAGCAUGACAUGGAGCUACUCAAAGAGUUUAACAAAAGUCCCUUAGUGACCUUGAGCCAAAAGGGAUCAGAAAAUACAAUUGCAAGCAUGUGAACAUAGCAAAGACAUAAUCAGUUUUCAGACUUAGUGAAAACUGGCACAUGCUGAAAUAUAACUCAAGUAGGCAUAUUUAUGAGCUCGAUGCACUCACUACGGUGCAAGUCAUGGCAAGACAAGCAUACAUACAUCAAGAAGGCACAAAAUUCAAGCUAGACAUGGCAAGAACAAAAGCAUAGCAUGCACGGAUCAACUACAACAACACCGGCAAAAUCGCAAACAAGUUGACAAUCUUCCCAGAUUCACAAAGUAGCAAAAGUAGAGCUUGAUUGACUCAAGCUAGAUUGAUACAUAAUUGCAAACAAAGACAUGGAUGGAUAGAUCAGUACAAGAUUAACAAAACUCCCUUAAUGAUCAUCCUCAAAAGAGGCACGGAUCACUAGGAAACAACAUGAACAUAUGGCAUCAUGAGAUGAACAGCUCCAGGACUUUGCAGGCUUGCACAUCACAAAAAUACAUGGGUUGCACCUAUGGAAAGAUGACAAAACCCUUAACAAAACACAUGUAGAGCAUCAGGGCAUAGCAUGCACACAAUAAUCAUGGCAAAAAUGACAAAAACCUAAAUGGAGUAGCAGAUCUGACAAUUAACUCAAGUAGCCCUCUUCUAACAGUAUUUUGGGCAUCAAGAUGAACUCAAAUGAAAAUGAUGCAAUGGAAUGAAAUGAUGUACUCUCUGAGAUGAACAUUUUGAUAUGCUAUAUGCCAAAAACGGAGCUACGGAUGAGGAUAUACGACAUGAUGAAGAUGAGCACAUGAGCUAGGGUUUGGGCAAAAAGUCAACCCGAGUCACUCCGGAUCUAGAAUCGGGGCUCCAAAGGUGUUUUGAACACCAUGGAACAUAUGAGAUGUUCCAAGAGCUGAAAUUGGUAUUUCAGGCUCAUUCUCGUGUUGAGAGGUUUGAGACCUCUAACAAAAUCUUUGCCUACAAGAUGGAGGAUAAUAACUCAGCCAGUGAGCAUGUUCUUAGAAUGUCUGGGUGCUUCUAUCACUUGAAUCAAGUGGGAGUUAAUCUUCCAGAUAAGAGAAUGAUUGACAGAGUUCUCCAGUCACUAUCACCAAGCUGCUAGAGGUUUGUGAUGAACUAUAGCAUGCAAGGGAAGUUGAUCUCGGAGCUGUUCAUCGUGCUUAAGGCCGUGAAGGUAGAAAUCAAGAAGGAGCAUCAAGUGUUGAUGGUUAAGAAGACCACUAGUUUCAAAAAGGGCAAGUGCAAGAAGGGAAACUUCAAGAAUGGCAAGCCAGUUGCCGCUCCAGUGAAGAAACCCAAGAACCCAAACCUGAGACGAAGUGCUUCUAUUAGGGGAACAGUCACUAGUAGCGGAACUGCCUCAAAUACUUGGUAGAUAAGAAGGCUGGCAACUUCAACAAAAGUAUAUUUGAUAUAUAUGUUAUUGAUGUGUACCUUACUAGUAUUCCUAGUAGCACCUGGGUAUUAGAUACCGGUUCAGUUGCUAAGAUUGGUAACUCGAAACAAAAGCUAUGGAAUAAACGGAGACUAGCUAAGGGCAAGGUGAGAUGUAUGUUGGAAGUGUUUCCAAGGUUGUCGUGAUCACCAUCGCACGCUCCCUCUACCUUCGGGAUAAGUUGAACCCAGAUAAAUGUUGUUUGCAUUGUUGUCUGCGUUGAGCAUGAACAUGAUUAGAUCAUGUUUAUUGCAAUACGGUUAUUCAUUUAAGUCAAAGAAUAAUGGUUAUUCUGUUUACAUGAGUAACACCUUCUGUGGUCAUGCACCCAAUGUGAAUGGUUUAUUGAAUCUCAGUCGUAGUGAUACACAUGUUCAUAACAUUGAUGCAAAAAGAUAUAGAGUUGAUAAUGAUAGUACCACUUUCUUGUGGCACUGCCGCUUAGGUCAUAUUGGUGUAAAGCGCAUGAAGAACCUCCAUGCCGAUGGACUUUUGGAGUCACUUGAUUUUCAAUCACUUGACACAUGCGAACCAUGCCUCAUUGGCAAGAUGACUAAAACCCCGUUUUGUUUGUAACAAUGGAAUGGGUAAGUGACUUGUUGGAAAUCAUACAUGCUGAUGUGUGUGAUCCGAUGAGUAUUGACGCAUGCGGUGGAUAUCGUUAUUUUCUCACCUUCACUGAUGAAUUGAGUAGAUAUGGCUAUAUUUACUUAAUGAAGCAUAAGUCUGAAAUGUUUGAAAAGUUCAAGCAAUUUUAGAGUGAAGUUGAGAAUCAUCAUAACAAGAAGAUCAAGUUCCUACAAUCUGAUCAAGGGGAGAGUAUCUGAGUUAUGAGUUUGGCAAUCACUAAAGACAAGGUGGAAUCGUUUCAUAGUUGACGCCACCUAGAACACCAUAGUGUAAUGGUGUGUCCGAAUGUCGUAAUCGCACCCUAUUGGAUAUCAUGCGAUAUAUGAUGUCUCUUAUCGAUCUACCGCUAUCAUUUUGGGGUUAUGCAUUAGAGACAAUUAGAUUCACUUUAAAUAGGGCACCAUCUAAGGCCAUGGAGACGACCCCGUAUGAACUAUGGUUUGCCAAGAAAACUAAGUUGUUGUUUCUUAAGGUUUGGGGCUACGAUGCUUAUGUCGAUAGGCUUCAGCCAGAAAAGCUCGAACCCAAAGCGGAAAAUUGUGUCUUCGUAGAAUACCCAAACAAGACGAUUGGGUCUACCUUCUAUCUCAGACCUGAGGCAAAGUAUUUGUUGCUAUGAACAUGUCCUUUCUCAAGAAAGAGUUUCUCUCGAAGGAAUUGAGUGGGAGGAUAAUAGAACUUGAUGAGGUUGUUGAACCUUUACUUCAACCAGAGAGUAGCGCAACACAGAAAGAUUUUUCUAUGGCACCUACCUCAGUUGAAGAGAAAGCUAAUGAUGAUGAUCAUGGAGCUUCAGAUCAAGUUACUAUCGAACCUCGUAGGUCAACAAUGGUGUGUACAACUUCUAAGUGGUAACCCUGUCUUAAAGGUCAUGUUGUUGGAUAACGAUGAACCUAUGAUCUAUGAAGAAGCUAUGGUGGGCCUGGAUUCCAACAGAUGACUGGAAGCCAUGAAAUCCGAGAUAUGAUCCAUGUAUGAGAACAAAGUACGGACUUUGGUGGACUUGCCCACUGAUCGGCAAGCCAUUGAGAAUAAAUGGAUCUUUAAGAAGAAGACAGACACUGAUGGUAUUGUCACCAUUUAUGAAGCUCGAUUUGUCUCAAAGAAGUUUCCGACAAGUCCAAGGAGUUGACUGAGACUUUGUCAAUCAUAGCGAUGCUAAAGUAUGUUAGAAUUAUGUUAGCAGUUGCUGCAUUUUCAUUUAUGAAAUCUGGCAGAUGGUUGUCAAAACAAAGUUUCCUUGACGGUUUUUGUGAGGAUAGGCUUUAUGUGAUACAACCAUAAGGUUUUGUCGAUUCUAAGGAUGCUAAAAGGUAUGCAAACUCCAGCGAUCCUUCUAAGGAGUGGAGCAAGCAUCUCGGAGUUGGAACAUACGCUUUGAUGAGGUGAUCAAAGCAUUUGGGUUUAUACAAAGUUUGCAAGAAACUUGUAUUUGCAAGAAUGUGAGUGGGAGCACUACAACAUAUUGAUACGUAUAUGUGGAUGACAUAUUAUUGAUUGAAAAUGAUUUAGAAUUUUUGGAAAGCAUAAAGGGUUGGUUGGAUGGAGUUUUUCAAAGGAGGACCUGUGUAAAACUGCUUACAUGUGGGUAUCAAGAUCUAUAGAGAUAGAUCAUGACGCCUGAUAAGACUUUCAUAGAGCACAUACCUUGACAUGAUCUUGAAGGAGUUCAAGAUGGAUCAAUCAAAGGAGUUCUUGCCUGAGUUGUAAGGUGUGAAGUUAUGAUGAGGACAUCAAUACCAUUGUUACACCCACAGCCCCUGCUGCUAUACAUACUGGACCAAUUACUAGAGCUCGUGCACGUCAAUUAAAUUUUGAGGUACUUUCGUUUCUUGGUAAUGAUUCUAAUGUUCAUGAGAAUAUGAUGCUGCCUAAAUUGGGUACAUUUGUUUUGCUUACAAAUGAAGGGCCUGUCAUGGAUAAGAGGGUUGAACAUUGGAGCAAGACCAAGCAUGGAGAUGAUGGCAUGCGCAGGGGAUCAAGAACGGAGUUACAAGUGAUGAUUUCAGGACUUUGAAGCCACCAUAAGGAGUGCAUGAAGCAUUGGACGAAAUAUACAAGAUGCCACUUCAUAAAUUUCGUCUAGAGGCUAUUCUAGGUGCUGCGUCACCUUAUUAUUGGGCUAGGCCCAUAUAUUUUCGAAAUACUUAAGUAUCAACUGUUUUUGGAGUCCGUAUGUGUGGGGAAACAAGAGUUAGGGUUGGUUUCGGACCCCUCCUCCAAGGGCCACGAAAUCCCCCCCCCUCUUCCUCCAUAUAUACAGCCCUUAGGGCGUCAUUUAGACUUCGGGUUUUGUUUAGAUUAAAGUUUGUCAUAGCUGCAACUUCGCAUACUUCGUUUAUGUUCAACGACCAGACAAAGGCGUCAUAGAACCCCACCUUGAUCAAUAAAGUUUUCCUCUUAUAUUCACAAUAUCCAGAUUGAAAUCUUAGUUUCUUGCUAGUUCUUCAUUUGCCUGCAGGAAACAGACCUUCGUGGUCAGGUUGAUCGUGCUCCGGCGUGGUCAAUAACCUCUCGGAGUUGGUUUCGCGAUUCCUAAGGCACGACGUCCCCACACGUUCGUAGUCGGAUCGUCAAAGUCGGCUUCCACCAAAAUGAUAGCCACCAUCUCAUCGAAAGACGGGACACCUUUGCCUCUAUCAAGUGGUAUCAGAUUUCUAGGUUGCUCGGUGAGAUUUUACAGUUUUUCGUAGUUUAGGUCGAGUCUGUUCUUCAUACCUAUAGUCCAUGAAAAAGCCAAAAAAAUAGGGUUAGGUCAUCAUAUCCGAAUCAAUCGGAGCUUUUGCAUAGUCUUUUUUAGAGUUUUGCUUUGUUGAAUUUGUGGUUGCAUCGUCGUGUCGAGUUGCUGGUCUUAGUCUCUAGUCCCUUAGAGUUUCGUGUUCUGUUCACAGGUUGUCACGCCGCUGCCGCACCAUCGUCAUCAUCAUUACCAUAUACCACCACCCCACCAUAUACAUCGCCGCUGCCAUAUACAACCACCAGUCUGAGUCCACAUAUACCAUCGCCAUAUACAACCAUCAAUCCGAGUCCACAUAUACCAUCGUCAUAUACAACCACCAGUCCGAGUUCCACCAGAUUCAUCUCCGCCACCAGUCCUAGUCCGAGUCCAGUAUUUGUUGCUUUGUUUUCGCGUUCCAGAUCACGCAAUACUUCGAGUCGUGACCAAGUCAGACUCCCCAACUUCUGUGCUAUCCGCAGUAGAAAAAUAGUUCCAAACUAAAAAAAACUAAGUCUGGAAAAUUCUGGCUAGGCAGGCUUUAGACCAUUUGUAAACUUUUUCGAAAAAAAUUUGUUGCGGAGCAAAAAAGAGAGGAAAAAAGUGCAACAAAAAUUGAAAAAAUGGGAAAAAAUUAGAGUGUGCUCCUCCCUUGUUUACGUGCAACGCCGUGAUUUUGUUAGUGUUCUAGGCUCGCGUCUCUAGCACGGUCUAGCCUAGGACCAGCACAGUACCGUCGUUGAGCGUUUAUUCACCUUAACAUCUCUGAAUUGAUUAUUGCUGACCCUUUUGCCACCAUAUUAUAAGCCUUCCCAGCUCCACAUACAUCUACGUCGUGCGUUUGACUCUCCCUGGUAAUCGCUCUAUCCAAGCAUUGAGAGUUUUGACUACGACGGUUGCCGAUCACCGCCUGCUGCUAGGUAAGAACUGGUAAGAAUUUGAGAUUUGCUUGACGGAUUUGUGACACCCACCACCACCUCUUGUUAGUAGUCUGUAGGAUCAUAUUCUUGUGUGAUUCUGUUGCUGCUAACCAUGGCAGGAUCACAAGCUGACGAGACUGACUGGGAGAACAUGACGAAUAAGGAGUUGCAUGAUAAAUUUUAGCAAACGAUGAGUGGACAGGUGCAAGAUGCGCUAAACAGAUUUGAAGUGGCCAUGGAGAAGAUAGAUGGCAUGGAGAAGACAUUCGAAACAAAGAUUGAUAACAAGUUUAAUGAAUUGCUCGCGCGUCUUCCACCACCGCCACCACCACCACCGGCUGCACCUCUACAACAACAACAACAACAACAACAACGACUACCACCACAUCGCAAAACAGCCCUCCGCCAAGCGAGCCAUGUCCCUCUUGCGCCUGGCCAAACUGUUGGUGCUGCUGUUGAUACUUCUGUGGCUCCUGCUGCUGAUGCGGAGGAGGAUGAUUAUGCAGGAGAUUACGAGGAUGAGGUUGAUCGAAAUCAGAACUACGUGCAACCACCAGCACCACAACCACCAGGUCGUCCACAUGCAAAUAAUGGCAAUGGUAGGGUUCCUCCUCAGGUACGAGAUCCUGACCAUCUCCCUAAACUGAAAUUGAAUAUUCCAACAUUUGAGGGUAGAUAUAUUCCUGAUAUAUAUAUCUUACUUGGGAGUUAGAAACUGAACAACGAUUUACAUGUUUACAAUAUCCUGAGGAGAGACGUGUUCCUGCUGCUGUUUGUGCUUUCACUAGCUUUGCAUGUGUUUGGUGGUCUGAACAUUGUAGAUUAUAUCCUAUUCUAGCUACUUGGGCUGCUUUGAAAACUGCUAUGCGUACUCGUUGGGUUCCACCAUAUUAUCAACGUGAAUUAAUUCAAAAAUUGCAGCGUUUAAGACAAGGAAAUUUUUUUGUAGAAGAAUAUUAUCAGGAAUUACAAACUGGCAUGAUUAGAUGUGGUAUUAUUGAGGAGAAUGAAGCUAUGCUUGCAUGUUUUAUGGGUGGAUUAAAUAGAGAGAUUCAGACCAUUCUAGUGUAUAAGGAGUAUAAUAAUAUCACUCGUUUAUUACAUCUUGCUUGUAAAGCUGAACGUGAAGUGCAUGAUCGACAAGCAUUGGCGUGAACUAACUUUUCUGUAGGUCAAUUUUCAUCAUGGACACCACGUGCAUCCUCUACUUCCUCUACACCAGCACCUCCAUCAGGUGCCACCUCGAGCUGUGAUACAAGAAAGCAGGCACAACCACCACUAUCUGCCAAGAGCACACCUAUCGGGCCUGCGCAGAGUUCUUCUUUCGUGGCAUCAAUAGGGCACACAAGUGAUAUUAUUUGUAGUCGUUGUAAGGGAAGAGGACAUUUUGCGAGAGAAUUCAAAUCUCAGCGUGUGAUGAUUGCUAUUGAAGAUGGUGGCUAUGAGUCCGCUAGUGACUAUGAUGAGGAGACUUUGGCUCUUAUUACACGUGACGAACACAGUGUAGAUGAUUCUGAUCAUGAGACGCAAUACAUGGCUCCUGAAGACACUGACAGGUCUAAAUGUUUAGUUUCUCAAUGUGUUUUCAGAGCGCAGGUUACACAAGCUGAGCAAAAUUAGAGGCAUAAUUUGUUCCAUACAAAGGGAGUUGUGAAGGAAUGUUCUGUUCGCGUCAUCAUAGUUGGAGGGAGCUGCAACAACUUGGCUAGCAUGGAGAGGGAGGAGAAGCUAUCUCUCACCACAAGACCACAUCCACAUCGUUCCUACAUCCAAUGGUUCAACAACAGCGGCAAUGUUAAGGUAACACGUACUGUUCGUGUGCAUUUUAGUAUCUCUACAUAUGUUGAUUAUGUUGAUUGUGAUGUGGUACCCAUGCAAGCAUGUUCCUUAUUACUUGGUAGACCAUGGCAAUUUGAUAAAAAAUAUGUACACCAUGGUAAGAACAAUCAGUAUACUCUUGUUCAUAAGGAUAAAAAUAUUACUUUUCUUCCAAUGACUCCUGAUUCCAUUUUGAAAGAUGAUAUUAAUAGAGCUAAUAAAGCAAAACAGGAGCAAAAUAAGAGAGAAAAUCAGAUUGUGGAAAAAGCAUUUGAGCAAAAAAUGAAGCCUAAUAAUAAACCAUCUAGUGUUGCUUCUAAAAUUAAAUUGAAAAGUGCAUGUUUACUUCCACCAAAUAUGAUAUUGAUGAUCUAGAUUUUAGCAAAUCUAUUUGCUAUGCUUUUGUGUGCAAAGAGGCAUUAUUUUCAUUCGAGGACAUGCCUUCCUCUUUGCCUCCUGCUGUCACUAACAUUUUGCAGGAGUUCGCUGACGUCUUUCCACAAGACGUGCCACUGCGAUUACCACCUAUUCGAGGGAUUGAGGAUCAAAUUGACUUAAUUCCCGGUGCAUCAUUAUCCAACUGUGCACCAUACCGUACCAAUGCAGAGGAGAUGAAGGAGAUUAUGCGUCAAGUACAGUAGCUGCUCGACAAAGGUUAUAUACGCGAAUCCCUUAGUCCUUGUGUUGUUCCUGUCAUUUUAGUGCCGAAAAAGGAUGGUACAUCGCGUAUGUGUGUUGAUUGUAGUGGCAUUAAUAAUAUUACUAUUCGUUAUCGUCAUCCUAUUCCUAGGCUAGACGACAUGCUUGGUGAAUUGAGUGGCUCUACAAUAUUCUCUUGAUUUGCAUAGUGGAUACCAAUAAAUUCGUAUGAAAUUGGGAGACGAAUGGAAAACAACAUUUAAAACUAAGUUUGGAUUAUAUGAGUGGUUAGUCAUGCCUUUUGGCUUAACUAAUGCACCUAGUACUUUCAUGAGGUUAAUGAACGAAGUUUCACGUGCUUUCAUUAGACGAUUUGUGGUAGUCUAUUUUGAUGAUAUAUUGAUUUAUAGUAAAUCUUUGGAGGAACAUUUGGAACAUUUACAUGUUGUUUUUAUUGUUCUACGUGAUGCACAUUUGUUUGGUAACCUUGGAAAGUGCACCUUUUGAACCGACCGAGUAUCUUUUCUUAGCUAUGUUGUUACUCCACAGGGAAUUAAAGUUGAUAAAGCCAAGAUUGAAGCUAUUAAGAGUUGGCGGCAGCCCAAAACGGUGACACAAGUGAGGAGUUUCCUUGGCCUCACUAGUUUCUAUAGGCGUUUUGUGAGAGAUUUCAGCACCAUUGUUGCACCUCUCAACGAGCUUACAAAGAAGGAUGUGCCUUUUGUUUGGGGUACCCACAGGAAGAAGCCUUCACGGUAUUGAAAGGUAAGUUGACACAUGCUCCUUUACUCCAACUUCCUGAUUUUAAUAAGACUUUUGAGCUUGAAUGUGAUGCUAGUGGAAUUGGAUUAGGAGGUGUGUUAUUACAAGAUGGCAAACUUGUUGCAUACUUUUCUAAAAAAUUGAGUGGGCCUAGUCUGAAAUAUUCUACUUAUGAUAAAGAAUUAUAUGCUCUUGUUCGGACCUUAGAAACAUGGCAACAUUAUUUAUGGCCAAAGGAAUUUGUUAUACAUUCUGAUCAUGAACCUUCGAAACAAAUUAAAAGUCAAGAAAAACUGAACCAUAGACAUGCUAAGUGGGUUGAAUUCAUUGAGACUUUCCCAUAUGUCAUUAAACACAAGAAGGGUAAAGAAAAUGUUGUUGCUGAUGCAUUGUCUCAUCGUUAUACUAUGCUUUCACAACUUGACUUUGAAAUAUUUGGUUUGGAGACCAUCAAAGAUCAAUAUGUGCAUGAUGAUGAAUUUAAAGAUGUAUUGUAGAAUUGUAAGGAAGGGAGAACUUGGAACAAGUUCGUUCUUAAUGACGGAUUUGUGUUUCGUGCUAACAAGCUAUGCAUUCCAGCUAGUUCUGUUCGUCUUUUGUUGUUACAGGAGGCGCAUGGAGGAGGAUUAAUGGGACAUUUCAGCGUCAAGACGACGGAGGAUAUACUUGCUACAAAUUUCUUUUGGCCAAAGAUGAGACGGGAUGUUGAGCAUUUUGUUGCUCGCUGCACUACAUGUCAAAAAGCUAAGUCACGACUCAAUCCUCAUGGUUUAUAUAUGCCUUUGCCUGUACCUAGUGUUCCUCGGGAGGAUAUAUCUAUGGACUUUGUUUUAGGUUUAUAUCCUUGGGAGGGAUAUCCUUGGGAGGAUAUAUCCUUGUGAGGGGUAGCAUAUUUGUUGUCGUGGAUAGAUAUUCGAAAAUGGCGAACUUUAUACCAUGUCAUAAAAGCGAUGAUGAUGUCAAUGUUGCUGAUUUGUUCUUUUGUGAAAUUAUUCGCUUGCAUGGUGUGCAAAAUACUAUUGUUUCAGAUCAUGAUACUAAAUUUCUUAGCCACUUUUGGAGAUGUUUAUGGGCUAAGUUGGGGACAAAACUACUUUUAGUACUACUUGUCACCCCCAAACUGAUGGACAAACUGAAGUAGUCAAUAGAACAUUGUAUACUAUGCUUAGGGCUGUUUUGAAGAAUAAUAAGAAAAUGUGGGAAGAAUGAUUGCCUCAUAUUGAAUUUUCUUAUAAUCGUUCAUUUCAUUCUACUACUAAGAUGUGCCCUUUUGAAAUUGUGUAUGGUUUCCUACCUCGUGCACCUAUUGAUUUGUUGCCUCUUCCAUCUUUAGAGAAGGUUAAUUUUGAUGCUAAAGAACGUGUUGAAUUGAUCUUAAAAAUGCAUGAGUUAACUAAGGAAAACAUUGAGCGUAUGAAUGCUAAAUAUAAACUUGCUGGAGAUAAGGGUAGAAAACAUGUUGUUUUUGCACCUGGAGAUCUUCUUUGGUUACAUUUGUGUAAGGAUAGAUUUCCUAAUUUGCGCAAAUCAAAGCUAAUGCCACGUGCUGAUGGUCCUUUUAAGGUGUUAGAGAAAAUAAAUGACAAUGCAUAUAAAUUUGAAUUGCCUGUAGAUUUUGGGGUUAGUCCCACUUUUAACAUUGCACAUUUGAAGCCUUAUUUGGGUGAGGAAGAUGAGCUUCCAUCAAGGAUGACUUCAUUUCAAGAAGGGGAGGAAGAUGAGGGCAUCAAGACCUUUGUUACACCCAGAGCCCCUGCUGCUAUACAUACUGGACCAAUUACUAGAGCUCGUGCACGCCAAUUAAAUUAUCAGGUACUUUCGUUUCUUGGUAAUGAUUCUAAUGUUCAUGAGAAUAUGAUGCUGCCUAAAUUGGAUACAUUUGUUUUGUUUACAAAUGAAGGGCCUGGCAUGGAUACGAGGGAUGAACACUGGAGCGAGACCAAGCAUGGAGAUGAUGGCAUGCGCAAGGGGAUCAAGAACGGAGUUACAAGUGAUGAUUUCAGGACUUCGAAGCCACCAUAAGGAGUGCAUGAAGCAUUGGAUUAAAUAUACAAGAUGCCACUUCAUAAAUUUCGUCUAGAGGCUAUUCUAGGUGCUGCAUCACCUUAUUAUUCGGCCAGACCCAUGUAUAGGCUCUUUUUAGAGUCCGUAUGUGUGGGGAAACAAGAGUUAGGGUUGGUUUCGGACCCCUCCUCCAAGGGCCACAAAAUUCCCCCCUCUUCCUCCAUAUAUACAUCCCUUAGGGCGUCGUUUAGACUUCGUGUUUUGUUUGGAUUAAAGUUCGUCAUAGCUGCAACUUCGCGUACUUCGUUUGUGUUCAACGACCAGAUAAAGGCGUCAUUGAACCCCACCUUGAUCAAUAAAGUUCUCCUCUUAUAUUCACAAUAUCUAGAUUGCAAUCUUAGUUUCUUGCUUGUUUUUCGUUUGCCUGGAGGAAACAGACCUUCGCGGUCAGGUUGAUCGUGCUACGGCGUGGUCAAUAACCUCUCGGAGUUUGUUUAGUGAUUGCUAAGGCGCGACGUCCUCGCACGUUCGUUGUCGGAUCGUCAAAGUCAACGUCCACCAAAACGAUAGCCACCAUUUCAUCGAAAGACGAGACACCUUUGCCUCUAUCAAGUUAAGACUUGAAGCUCGACCACGGCGGAAGAAAGAGAAAGGAGGAAAGUCGUUCCCUAUGCCUUAGCCCUAGGCUCUAUACGAUAUGUCAUGCUGUGUACCGUGAUGUGCCUUGCCACGUGUCUGGCAAGGGGGUAUAAGAGUGAUCCAGGAGUGGAUCAUUGGACAGUGGUCAAAAUUAUCCUUAGGAAUAAGGAAAUGUUUCUCGAUUAUGGAGGUGAUGAAGAGUUCAGUGUAAAGGGUAAUGUCGAUGCAAGCUUUAACACCUAUCUGAAUGACUCUAAGUAGAGAACCGGAUACGUAUAGUGGAGCAACCAUUUGGAAUAGCUCCAAGUGAAGCAUAGUAGCAACUUCUACAAUAUGAAAUAGAGAUUUCCAAAGAACACAUGGAUCUGAAUGUUGCAGACCCGUUGACUAAAACCUCGCGCAUAAGCAUAACAUGAUCAAACCCGAGAACUCAUUGAGUGUUAAUCACGUGGUGAUGUGAACUAGAUUAUUGACUCUAGUAAACUCUUGGGUGUUAAUCACAUGGUGAUGUGAACUAGAUUAUUGACUCUGGUAAACUCUUUGGGUGUUAGUCACAUGGCGAUGUGAACUACGAGUGUUAAUCACAUGGCAAUGUGAACUAGAUUAUUGACUCUAGUGCAAGUGGGAGACUUUGGAAAUAUGCCCUAGAGGCAAUAAUAAAAUGGUUAUUAUUAUAUUUCCUUGUUCAUAAUAAUUGUAUAUUGUUCAUUCUACAGAUGUAUUAACCGGAAACCGUAAUACAUCUGUGAAUACAUAGACCACAACAUGUCCCUAGUAAGCCUCUAGUUGACUAGCUCGUUGAUCAAUAGAUGGUUAUGGUUUCCUCAGCAUGGACAUUGGAUGUCGUUGAUAACGGGAUCACAUCAUUAGGAGAAUGAUGUGAUGGACAAGACCCAAUCCUAAGCAUAGCACAAAAUCGUGUAGUUCGUUUGCUAAAGCUUUUCUAAUGUCAAGUAUCAUUUCCUUAGACCAUGAGAUUGUGCAACUCCCGGAUACCGUGUGAAUGCUUUGGGUGUACCAAACGUCACAAUGUAACUGGAUUGCUAUAAAGGUUCACUACAGGUAUCUCCGAAAGUAUCUUUUGGGUUGGCACGAAUCGAGACUGGGAUUUGUCACUCCAUAUGACGGAGAGGUAUCUCUGGGCCCACUCAGCAAUGCAUCAUCAUAACGAGCUCAAUGUGACUAAGGAGUUAGCCACGGGAUCAUGCGUUAUGGAACGAGUAAAGAGACUUGCCGGUAACGAGAUUGAACGAGGUAUAGAGAUACCGACGAUCGAAUCUCGCACAAGUAACAUAUCGAUGGACAAAGGGAAUUGUAUACGGGAUUGAUUGAAUCCCCGACAUCAUGGGUCAUCCGAUGAGAUCAUCGUGGAACAUGUGGGAGCCAAUAUGGGUAUCCAGAUCUCACUAUUGGUUAUUGGCCGGAGAGAUGUCUCAGUCAUGUCUGCAUGGUUCCCGAACCCGUAGGGUCUACACACUUAAGGUUCGGUGACGCUAGAGUUGUUAUGGGAAAUAGUAUGUGGUUACCGAAUGUAGUUCGGAGUCCCGCAUGAGAUCUCGGACAUGACGAGGAGUUCCGGAAUGGUCCGGAGGUGAAGAUCGAUAUAUUGGACAAAGGGUAUUGGAGUCCGGAAGUGUUCCGGGGGUACCGGGCUAUGGCCAGCCUGACCGAAAGGAGCAUCCCGAGGUCAUCCCCAUGGACCUACCAUUGCCUCACCAAGUCCCUAGUGGACCCAUGACACGAGCACGUGCAAGAGCUCUUGAAACCGAGGUGACAUCUCUCCUCUCACACUUCCACUUCAAUACACAUGAGACAUGGCUACUACCUCAAACGGAGACAUUGUGCAUACUCAGGUAUCUAGGAGUUGGCCAUGAAGGAGCUAAGGAGCUAGGAGAAAAAGAAGAGGAAGAUGGACGUGAAGACGGAGAACAAGAAGAAAUGUGGAAGAAGCUACAGGUUCUGGAUGACCGACCUGGACCGGACGUCCGACGAUCUCCAGGCUCCGGACAUCCGACCCAGACCGGACGUCCGACACCUCCUCACCCGAGCCAAAACUGCGGAAUUCCGAGGCCUCCCAGAUGACUGACGCCCGGACGACCGACCCUGACAGGACGUCCGACCGAAGCAUACCCGAGCCGAAUCUAUGGACGUCCGAUAGGAACCGUACGUCCGGACCCUCGCUAGCCUCCGGACGACCGACGCCUGUGCGUUGCCAUGUGUUGGGCCGCAACCCAUGUACCCCCCACUUCGCCCCUUUUUGCACUAAGACUAUAAAUAGACCCCCUAUUCCUCCUAGCUAGGGUUAUCAUUGGUUUGGCUCAUUUUAGAGAUAGAGCAUUGCUCAUCCACAUCGGAUCUACUCCACGAGAGAGACCACGACCCCUCUUUGGAGAAGAUCCCCUUAGAUUCAAGACCCCUCUAAGGGAAGAUCCCUUCGUGGAUUCAAGACCUCCUCAUGGAGAAGACCGGCUACCUUUUGUAUCGUCCCUAGUUGACCGUGUAUCUUGUGAUCUCAUAUGUACUCGAGGAUCUAGCACAUGUGUGACUAUUUCUUGUUGGUUUAGUGUUUCUCUUGUGUUUCCCCCGUGUUUUCCCUCGUUUCCCUCCUCGUGUUCUUUGUGAGAUCUGCUCCUUUCGUGAAAGAUCGGACGAUUAGGGUUCUUCCCUACAUCAUCUUGGUAUCUAGAGCCACGUUGAUCAUGAUUUCGGAGCCUCCCUGUUGUGUUGCUAGCCUAGUUUUUGUUGAUUUUGUCCCUAAUUCGAAAAUUCCCCACAAAAAUAGCC
RNAcentral lists this long non-coding RNA (29512 nucleotides) under Triticum aestivum (bread wheat). RNAcentral's name for it is "long non-coding RNA (TAES_LNC001569)". The record is from RNAcentral. Lineage: Eukaryota; Viridiplantae; Streptophyta; Magnoliopsida; Poales; Poaceae.